AUUGAACGCUGGCGGCAUGCCUUACACAUGCAAGUCGAACGGUAGCGGGCCUUCGGGUGCCGACGAGUGGCGAACGGGGGAGUAAUACAACGGAACGUGCCCGAUCGUGGGGGAUAACGAGGCGAAAGCUUUGCUAAUACCGCAUACGGUCUACGGAUGAAAGCAGGGGACCGCAAGGCCUUGCGCGGACGGAGCGGCCGAUGGCAGAUUAGGUAGUUGGUGGGAUAAAAGCUUACCAAGCCGACGAUCUGUAGCUGGUCUGAGAGGAUGAUCAGCCACACUGGGACUGAGACACGGCCCAGACUCCUACGGGAGGCAGCAGUGGGGAAUUUUGGACAAUGGGCGCAAGCCUGAUCCAGCCAUGCCGCGUGCAGGAUGAAGGCCUUCGGGUUGUAAACUGCUUUUGUACGGAACGAAAAGCCUUCUUUUAAUACAGGAGGGUCAUGACGGUACCGUAAGAAUAAGCACCGGCUAACUACGUG
This 482-nucleotide ribosomal RNA is filed under the name uncultured bacterium. RNAcentral describes it as "partial 16S ribosomal RNA". It matches the Rfam family "Bacterial small subunit ribosomal RNA", at positions 30 to 507 of the family's 1533-position model. The record is from RNAcentral.